AGGUGGCAGAAGGUGUUCCGCCACUGACUUCCGUGACUCCAGAACGUUAUGCAUUGACAACUGUUCAUUUUUCAGCCCUUCGGUGCCUUAGCCGAGGCAGCCAGCUCCUCGUGCCUCGAUGUGACAAGCUUGGACUAAAAUUUGCCUGUGAGAAGGUGUCUCUUGAAUAAAACAAAAGCGAGUGUCUGCUCUACUACAGCCAGACAGCAACAGCAUGAGCAGUCACUGACAGCUCACAAUGAAGUAAGAAACUCUUUCCAUUUGACUAACAAGUGGCAUGAGAAAGCAGGUAAGUUAAUAUUCGUAACAGAGAGACUUUAAGCAAUGUGGAUGUUUCCUUCUUAGAACCACUCAAUUUUGAUUUUAACAGUUCUGUAUUGCCGUGAUUCGCACUCCCUUGCAUUUAAUAGGCAAUAAUUUCUGGUUUGUGGUACAUUACUUAUCACAUCUAUCAGGGUAAUCACACAAACUGGUGGCUCUGUAUUUAUAAUCCUGCUCCCACCUCAGAGCAACAUGGCUAUUGGAAUGUAUCUGUCUCCUUAACAUCAUCAUUUCUAUAAACACAAACUUCCCAAAAGCAGAUAAUCCCCAUCAAUGUAAUGAUAAGACACUUUUUUCCAGCUGCUUUACUACAUUAUCAUAGCGUAAGAAUGCUACAGUCAUUGGAAAAUGAAUCUCCAUAGGACAUCGGGAGGGAGGUCCGUUUUUCCACCUCCCUGCUCUGAGACACGAUCAAAAGCUCCUAAGGAUACUUUUGUCAAACAUAAAGAAAUUCCUUCUUUAGUACCACCACUAAAAAUGAUUUCACAGCCACACAUUAGAACGCUUCAGAUUGUUUCACUGUCCGUAUGAUAAGAAAAAUAUUUAACAAUACUAAAUCCUGGGCAGUCCUUUGCGAGACACAUUUCAUACGCCCGCUGAUAACCAGUCUCUGAGUGCGUGAGCUGAAGGCCCUUCAAUAGUCUGAUGAAUAUUCAUUUAUUCAUCAGAUUUCAUUCACGGGGAUAUCAGGUGCGAGUAUGUAAAAAGAGCUGCUAGAGCCAAAGCAGUGAUUCCUUCUCUCUCCAAUUACUCUUUUGAUAUCAGAAAACGUGUUGGCUUGACACUCUGAGAAAAGCACACUGGCUGUUCUAUCAUCUCGCUCUUCACCUAGCACUUAUAAAUAGAUAUCCAAACAAUGUUUCAGUGUCCUUCUUUGCAGAGGUUAUGCAGCUAAGUCUACAGUUCUCUCUCCUUAUCUGUUGUCUUUUCAGAGAGAGGUUGCGUGUUUGUUCCUUUCUGUACUUUGGGGACCUCACCUUCCCUGCCUGAGCUUUCCAUGGUAGGCAUUAAUGGCUCUGAAAUUGGUAUCUUCAAUUCCCCAAGCACUCAGGUGGAUUUCACCGGGUCUUGAGGAGUUGAAUAAAUAGAACUGAGAUAAAUAUUGCUGCACCAAUCCUGAAUGGUGAAACUGAUUGCUACAUUAAUUCUCAGGAACAACUUACUAGCAUUUGUAUUUUUUUCUAUGAAGACUGAGAAAAAAGCUCUUUCAAGCAUUCAAGGCUUCUCGUUUUUUUCUUCUUCCCCAUGAAAUAACAAAACUACAUUUUUCUGUCAUUAUUCUUAGCGUCUUACCGCUACUUUCUCUUGUGUUCCUUCCAGCUAUAAUUAGUUUUGAUCCUUAUCCCUCCCAUUUCUUCACCUUUUGUUUUUCUUCCAUUGCUUUCUUCUUGCCCUGGGGAGGAGAGGUGCUGGAUGACUGCUUGCACAGCCGCACAUUUUCCAGACCUCCUGAAGUGCAGAGAAGUCAGAGCUCAGAGCGUGGCCAGGGACCCGCCUGUCUCUAGGAGUGCAGAAGUUGUAAGUACAGCUCUAACUCUUAACGGAGGUGGUGGGGUCACCGUUCCUGGGGGUGUUCCAGAGCUGUGGAGAUGUGGCACUGAGGGACGUGGGCAGUGGGCAUGGUGGGGAUGGGCUGGGGCUGGGGUUGGGCCUGGGGAUCUUAGAUAGCUUUCCCAACAUGAAUAAUUGCAUGGUUCUACGUCUCACUCAGCAUGGGCAUCCAUCUCCACCUUCUCCCAGAGGACAUACCUAGGGCAGGAUCAGCCUUCACAUGGGAGCAGGCUCCUUCAGAACAGGGACCUGGGUGUAGCAAUUAUGUUUUUCCUGGGCACUGAAAUCAAACUCCUUGCUGAUAUUCUCUUUGCCCAAUUUGUCAAGAAACUGUCAUUUGACUGGCAAAUUAAACAGAGACUUUUGUUUCAUUUUCUUCAUUUCCUCAGGACAUUUUACAUAGCAAGAUUGUGUAAAUCCUCUAAAUGAAAAGGAUUUUGUACAAUGUUCUUAGCAUUUGUUUUUCCCUCUUUCUCUCUUUUCUUUCCUGGAUUAAUUAAUUAAAAUAAAUAACUUCAUUAUACCAAUCCAAUAGAAAACAUUUCCUUAGGAUAUCAUUGCUCCAUUCCAUAUAUUCAUUGAAUUUGGCCUCAGAACCUCAUUUGGCUUCUUACAGCCUCAUCCGGACUGAAUUCCAGAGGCAGAUGCUUUUCAGCUAGCACAAAUCUGGCUACCAGCACUGUUCAACACGCAUUUUUAUUUGAAUGUAAAAAACUCUCCAUCCAAACAUACCUGAAAUUCGUACGAAGGCCUCAAAGUGACCAAAGUUCCAUUACAUACUCUUUCCAUUGCCAGAUUUUAAAAUUCACACCUCCUAAGACUUAGGAGAGAGUUUUCAUGUCUCUUGUAUUAAAACUGUAUGACAUUAAUAUAUAAUUUAACCAAGAAUUUGACUGUUCCAUAGCAGUUCCAGUAAUAUCAGCAGUGACAUUUUUUGCAUAAAUCUUCUCUACAUUUUAACGCUCAGGAGAAGUUGGAAGAGUUAUUAUGUAUAAUACACCUUGUUUUCUAUGUUUGAACAGUCAAAGGAUGAAUCUGAUUCACACCCUGGAGGCAUUCAUCUAUUAAAAUGCCAGUGUAAUGGAUCUGAAAGCUUUGGCAGUGCGAAGAAUAGGAAAUUUUUCCUUUUUUUGAGUGAGUAAGAUUGUCCUUUCCUGAAUAUGAUGGAUCGUCCAGAACAGAAAAUGGGAAUUGAUACCUAAGAUUUGGCUUUGUUACCGUUAAGUGAAAUUUAUCAUGCUCUGCAGCAGGAGAAAUUAUUGUAUUUUUUUCUCACAGUGCAUUUAAUGCAGCUGGUAAUUUAGGAAAGAAGAUACAAACUCUCCUGGAACACAGAGACAAAAAACUUCCCCCCUGUAGGUCACUGAUUACUGUGGUUUUCUCAAGCUAAAAGAUGCCGACCAUAGUGAAUUUACAGAUCUUCAUAGGGAAAAAAAAAAUAUGCUCCUAUAAUCUUUAGACAGCUCUUCACAUUAUUUACCUUUACAAUUUGUCUGUAACAAAUGCGAUUUUCUCUAUUUCAUGUUAACUUGGAGCAUCAACCUGGUUGAUAAGUGGAGAUGGCAUUGAUCUAUCAUGUUUCUGUAAUGGCAAGCGAACCAUUCCUAGUACAGAUAGAGAUGCCUUCCAUUUCAGAGGAAAAAAAAAAAAAAAGCACAGGUAAUACUUAUCCCUUGUCUCCAAACCACAGAGGUAUUUUUUGCUAUUAAUAACAACUUUACUCAGAGGUGUAACUGGAUAACUAUGAGAAGUUUUCAAAUCAUCGUUCCUUGAAAAUUAAGGAAAGCUGCAUAGCAUUUUCUCUGUAAAACUCUUCUCACUCUUCUUCCACUGCCUGUCCUUAUUUUUUUCACUUCUGCUAUUAGGUGGGUUAUCUAUGGACCACAGUCCUUCUGGGCACACACCUGCUCUGCCAUGGAGCGCUUCUCUUGCUCUGACCUUGUUGUCCCCUCCCUAUCAGUUUCCCACUGCAGAUACCACUUAUGUCCAACCAAGAAGCAGAUUUCGUUACCCUCCUGGCAACCUGUGUGAGUGCUUGGUCACCCAGAUUUUCCCCUCCCAUCAAUGAUGUUUCUAUCCCAAAGACAGACAGUGCUAUUUAGAAUUCAGAAAGAACACUAAAAACUGUCAGGGAAAUAAAGCAUGGAGAUGUAGACAGAAUUUAGAGAAACCACGAUUGCCAAUCAAUGUCCUAGCACAGAUCUUAAUCUGGAAAUAUCUUCAGGAAAAGAAGAAUGUAAUUUUAUUCAGGUAGACAGGGAUAGGAC
Long non-coding RNA from Numida meleagris (helmeted guineafowl), 4139 nucleotides. RefSeq lists it as uncharacterized. The transcript has 3 exons. The record is from RefSeq and is a predicted model, not a curated record. Lineage: Eukaryota; Metazoa; Chordata; Aves; Galliformes; Numididae.